UUUCCUUUGUUACAUAGUGGACCACACAAAACCCCUCCUUGACCUCAAAAGCAGGUGAUGAUGAUGGAGAGAAGAAGGAAAGAAGAGAGUGAUUCUGUAUAAGAGGCAGUGGGAAAUGCAGUGUACCCCUUGAACGAGGUCUUUUGAGAGGUAUUGAAGGACUAUCCGAGUUAUGCAGAAUUUCCUUUGGUGAACUGCUGCUUUCUCCAGGUCAUGGGUCUUGUUCUAAAUCCAUGUUUCACUGGGCAGAAGAUUUGCUUGAAUGAUCAUGUGUAAGACUCAAGGACUAAAUCCAGAGGUAUAUGAGCAGGUUAGUGAGCAGCUCUGCCUCACGGUGGAAGUCCUUGCGGGCAUUGUCGCUGGCAUCCUUCAGUGUCUGAUGGAGAAAAUGAAAAUGUAAAGGACAGAUGUUUACAGAAGGUAGGGAACAUGUAGGACAGCACUGUAAGGGUAAGACACCGAUAUUCUACAGCACAGAGGAUGAAAAAAACACACAGCCCAGUACAAGCAUCCCAGGACACCAGUCUGAGAAGUAGGACCUAAAAGAAACUUACAUUCAGAGACUGAGUCAUAUUCAAGCCUGGUGGAAGUGAGUAUAAAGACAAAUGAAGAGGAAUACAUCUUCUUUGCUAAAACAAGUUUGGUGAGGGAGCAGAGGUCUCCACUAUGUAUAGCCCCUUGCAACUGGUCUACACGACACGCAGCCCAGGGCCCCUUGGCCUUUAGCAGACCAGAGCCAAUGCCAUGUCCUGUAUGUUUCCAUGGCCAUGGGCAGUGAGGCAUCAGUCACAGACGUAGCCGGUCUGUCAAAUGGAGGUACAUUUAAAGUAGCAUCAGAGAGUGCCUUGGUUCCACCAUGGACAACAAACCCAUACAUCUGUUUCUGGGCAAAGCUUCCUUUAGAUAUUGUUUAAAUAAAGGCUUAUUUGUAAACUCCCAGUAAAUCCCCUCCCACAUAUCAAUAAAACUUUAUUUUAGAGAAAAAGAAUGAACACAGAUACAUUAAUCAAAAGUUAACUACACAGUAUGUCGGCAUCUAACGAAAAAGAAAGACCUGUACUCCUUUAGGAUAACAGCUUCCCACAUAGUCCAGUGUGAUAACUGUCAAACCCCCUGUACCAACAGUGACAAAACAACAACAAAUGGUAUCUUUUAAAGCUGUGACCCAUGACGAAGUUCAGGACAAGUUCAGUCUCUGCCAAUAUGUUUUCACUACCUAAAAGCAUCUUGGUUUUGACUUGAUAAUUACAGUCUGCUGAGCCAAGCAGCUGUCACUAAGGAACAGGAGCUGCCCAAAUGAAGCAAAAUGCAUAGAAGUUUACUGCUGAUUUAUCACACAAUAAUGAACCCAGUUACAGCCUUUUGAGGCAUGGAACUGAAAAACAAAAAGAGAGAGGGGAAAAAAAAAAGAGGAAAGAGAGGAAGAAAGAGCUUUGAACAUUUUGUUCCAGUCAGUUUCCAAGAACGAAGAAAACACCAGGCAUGAUUCAAUCAAAGGAUGCCCUCCCACAGUCCCGCUGUUGCUGGAGAAGUGGCCACUGGGCAGAUAACUGAGACACGUAUUUCUCAAAGCACACAGACCCAGUCUUUGCUGAGACAUAAACUCUUGCUGAUGGCAGCACAUAUACAUACCAGGGUAAACAAGAACGGCAGAAAUGGCUGAAUGAACUUUAUUCAGAAUCUGACAUACGAUGUCAGUAUAAUGAAUGUCACCUAAAGAAGAGUAUUACACUCACAAGCAGACUGAGUUGUCAGCUCUGACCAAUUAUUACCAGUUAAUUUUAUGUUGAUAGCUAGUACAUAUAUAUGAUAUUCUGUAAAAGCUUAAUAGCUGUCACUAUAAAACAUAGUUCUCUUUCUCCCCUGUGCUCCUCAUAUUUGGGAAGUACUUUCAGUUGAAUCCUCUUCAGUACUUGUUGCAGACUGAAAUUAAUGCAAAUGUAAUUCUAGCAAUCUCUGCAAGACACCAAAAAUGCAUGAAGCAGAAAAGUUCUUUUCUCACCUACCAUCUCUAUGACUAUUGCUCUUAAAAACCAGAACUGUUUUGUUCCAACUACUGUACACCAUGAUAUUUACAGCAACUGUAGUAUCCACAGAACUAAGAUAGACAAAAUGUAGGGUUUUUCUCCCCUUUCUUCUGAAGUUCAAGUUCCCUCCCAGAGCAAUAAAUACCAUGCCUACAUAGUCAUGUACUUGGGAAACAUUUUGAGCAGCAGUAACCAACACAAACAGCUGCUACAUUUGUUGAACUGAAUGGCAGACUUCCUGGUGUGCUUAUCAGUAACGGAAAUAUUAAAAAUUGCCAUAAUUUUUAUUGUUACUAAUGGAACAGCUAGAUUUUUGCCUCAAGUUGCUGGAACUGACAGUUGCAGCUAAGGAAGUGGGUGUUGUACUUUGGUAAGCACCCAGUCUGCACUUAGCUAAAACACAGAGAUACACAAAGCAUUAUUAUUAACCCUACAGACAAGACGUUACCAUGGUACAUUAACAGACCACUUUACAAGCAGUGUUUAUUAAUUACUGCCCCCUGCAAGACCACCACCAGCAGGAGAGCAAGCACAGACCUGCUUUUAGGAGAGACCUGUCUGAAGUCUGUUGCGAAACUGGAGGAUAAUUUGCCUUUUGAUAGUCCAACAUCCACAAAAUGGCCCUCAAGCAGUUUCCCGGACUCUAUUUCUAGCCUGUUCUUCUGGUCAGAAUUUUAAAUAGAAGACGAAGGGUCAGAAAGUAACAAUUGUUUAUAAACAAUGUCAGUACUUCUUGGGUAGUCUUUCUUGUGUUUUCCCACGUACAACUGUCAACUAACUUAUAGGUUAGUGUGUUGUUUUCACCAUUGCUUGUCACAUUUAUUCUUCCCUUGUAACAUUUUCUUCAGUAAGAGAACUGUAAUUCAGCCACAUGUUCCAAGAAUAUAACAGGUU
Long non-coding RNA from Manacus vitellinus (golden-collared manakin), 2921 nucleotides. RefSeq lists it as uncharacterized. NCBI's taxonomy places the organism in Eukaryota, Metazoa, Chordata, Aves, Passeriformes, Pipridae. The record is from RefSeq and is a predicted model, not a curated record. The transcript is spliced from 4 exons.